AGCAGCCGCGGUAAUUCCAGCUCCAAUAGCGUAUAUUAAAGUUGUUGCAGUUAAAAAGCUCGUAGUUGAAUUUUGGGGUUAGUAGGUUGGUCAUGCCUCUGGUAUGUACUGGUCUCACUGAUUCCUCCUUCCUGAUGAACUGUAAUGCCAUUAAUUUGGUGUUGCAGGGAAUCUGGACUGUUACUUUGAAAAAUUAGAGUGUUUAAAGCAGGCUAACGCCUGAAUACAUUAGCAUGGAAUAAUGAAAUAGGACGUUCGAUCCUAUUUUGUUGGUUUCUAGGAUUGACGUAAUGAUUAAUAGGGAUAGUUGGGGGCAUUAGUAUUCAAUUGUCAGAGGUGAAAAUUCUUGGAUUUAUUGAAGACUAACUACUGCGAAAGCAUUUGCCAAGGAUGUUUUCAUUAAUCAAG
This 408-nucleotide ribosomal RNA is filed under the name uncultured Glomeromycotina. RNAcentral describes it as "SSU rRNA". It matches the Rfam family "Eukaryotic small subunit ribosomal RNA", at positions 569 to 981 of the family's 1831-position model. Lineage: Eukaryota; Fungi; Glomeromycota. The record is from RNAcentral.